Molecule: ribosomal RNA, 210 nt
Filed under: uncultured Desulfovibrio sp.
Lineage: Bacteria; Pseudomonadati; Thermodesulfobacteriota; Desulfovibrionia; Desulfovibrionales; Desulfovibrionaceae
Description: partial 16S ribosomal RNA
Rfam family: Bacterial small subunit ribosomal RNA
Source: RNAcentral
UGGGAUGACGUCAAGUCCUCAUGGCCUUUAUGUCUAGGGCUACACACGUACUACAAUGGCCGGUACAAAGGGCAGCCACUCAGCGAUGAGGCGCUAAUCCCAUAAAGCCGGUCUCAAGUCCGGAUCGCAGUCUGCAACUCGACUGCGUGAAGUUGGAAUCGCUAGUAAUCGUAGAUCAGCAUGCUACGGUCGAAUACGUUCCCGGGCCUU